This 1986-nucleotide long non-coding RNA is filed under the name Homo sapiens (human). RNAcentral's name for it is "HSALNT0401391". The record is from RNAcentral. Lineage: Eukaryota; Metazoa; Chordata; Mammalia; Primates; Hominidae.
CACAUGUCUGAGCACACAUAAGGGACUCUGUGAAUAUGUGUGUAUUUGUUGUGUGCAUGCCCGCAGAAUGGGAUACAGAGACUCACUCUAUUCAUCAGGGAUUUGUUUUAAUCAGGAAUUGGCAGGCAUGGGAAGAGCACGCUGUCCAGGGUCGGCAAGGCCUGGAAAUGUCAGAGCAUCAGAAUACUGAAAAUAAAAGACAUGGUUAAAUCUAUUUUGGUGGCGAGGCUGGGGACACUGGGAAUAUGAUACUGAUCAAUCUAGAAUGUGUGGAGGAGUGGACAGCAGUUUUUAAUCAGACAAGACCUUCAACCCCGGCACAGACCAUCAAUUGGCAGGUGUUAAAACAGACCAAAAUGUGUUCUCCCGCCCAGAAGCAAGCAAAGCCAACCCCAGCUGCAGUUCCCUGACAGUCCAGUGAAUUCAGCCAAAGGAAAUGGCCCCACAUGGAGGGCAAGUGACAGAAGACCUGAUGACUCCGGUGGCUCAGCGGAGAGUGCAUUAAUAGGCUUGACCACUUCUGCUCGAUCUUCAGAAGGGGAAGCGGAGGCAGGAGGAUGCAGCAAGACCUGUUCCCUCCUCUAACGGCACUCAUAGGACAGCCCAGCCACACAUUCAAAGAAUCUUGAAGGAAUAGGAUGGUUGGUAUGGUUGGUGUGGAAGAAGGUUCAUAAAUUCUGGAUUUAGCUUUGUGGGAUUCAGCUGACCUGAAAUUUAUACCUGUGCAGGUAGGUGGUUGCUGGGUAGGGUGACCACUACUGUCUCUCUCCAUCACCCAGGGCUGUUUUCAGCUCAAAGCCACAGAAGCCCAGGCAUGGUGGCAUCUCCGGGGGAAGUUGCCUUAUUCCAGAUUCACAGGUCCGGGGCGAAGGGGCCAGGCAGGGCAGGUGUGGGGCGGCAGGAUAUCGCCCUGGGCCUGGCUCCUUCUGCCUUUCUGCCACCAUCUUCAGCGGUGCCAUUACCUCGAGGCCUUCUGUGGUUGCUGGAGCUGCCACGCUCGGCCUCCUGUCUGCCUCCAGAUGGGAGAGGAGGAAGGAGGAGGUGAGAGCAGGAAAGAGCUUACAUAAAAGACCACAUUUUCCCAGAAUCCCCAGCAGCUGCCUGUUCUCCCCCUCCACUGGGCUAGAGCUGUGUCACACAGGCUGAGCGGCCAGGAAGCUGGGCACCAUCCAGGGAGUGUGUGAUCGUCGGGGUCCUGUUGAUUCCUGCUUUUGAGUAAUGAAGGUGACCAAACCACAUGACCCUGUCUGCAAAGAUUCCACCUGGACUCCCAGUUCCUCCAAGGAACCGUCAUGUGGUUCAAAUCCAAUGAAAUUCUCUAAAUCUCCACCCUCCUCAGGGUGCAGAGUUGGCUGCUUCUCUGUGCCCCCUGCUGAUCACGGCAACCCCUGGGUGCCUCGGCCUGCGAAGCCCCAGCUGUCCUCCGUCUGCAGACAAGCCGAGGUAUGAAAGCCUCCUCGCUGGCCCAGGAGCCUGUCAUUGUCCUCCAGCAGCUCUAGCCUGGAUGCGGUCCCAGAGAUAAAUCAUAUCUCUUUAAAAAGCCACAGUGGCCCAUUAUUUCUGCUUGAAAAUACCCCUGGCUCUCUGCUGGUGAGCUGGUUGACAGGCCCCGGCUGUUGUGCUCAGUGCUGCAAAGAGUCACGUCAGUCUGUCGACUUGUGUAGUGAGCAAGCUGGUAGCUUCAGAUGGUAUGCACAUGAAAUCCCGUCCUGGCAUCCAGGACUUGGCUGGGGGUUGCAGAGAGAACCACAUCUGCAAAAGAGUUGGUAUUUUACAGUCCCAGCCUCACGUCCUUGUGAAAUGCCCUGUUCAUACUGGGCUACAGGGGCGGGAGCAAAAAUGAUACAAUGACAAUUCCUGGGCUGUGUUCUGCAAUAUUCUACAACACUUCCACAAGAAAACUCCAAUCUUUAAAAAUAGACUGAGCACAAUUAAACAAUCACUAUAGAUAUUUCUUUUCUUUUUUUUUUUUUUGAGAUGGAGUCU